UUGGUGAAAUUGGUUCCGUAGUCGGUAGCAAGUGUAACAUAUGAUUUGAAUGCUUUUUAUGUGAUUUUUCACAUGCUACCUGUGAAAUGGUUCAUCUCU
This is a long non-coding RNA of Maniola jurtina (meadow brown), 99 nucleotides long. RefSeq lists it as uncharacterized. The transcript is spliced from 3 exons. The record is from RefSeq and is a predicted model, not a curated record. Lineage: Eukaryota; Metazoa; Arthropoda; Insecta; Lepidoptera; Nymphalidae.